UGAGGAAUUUUUCGCAAUGGGCGAAAGCCUGACGAAGCAAUGCCGCGUGCAGGAAGACGGCCCGUGGGUUGUAAACUGCUUUUCUCAGAGAAGAAGAUCUGACGGUAUCUGAGGAAUAAGCACCGGCUAACUCUGUGCCAGCAGCCGCGGUAAUACAGAGGGUGCAAGCGUUGUCCGGAAUGAUUGGGCGUAAAGCGUCUGUAGGUGGCUCGUAAAGUCUAAUGUCAAAUACCAGGGCUCAACCUUGGACCGGCAUUAGAGUACUCACGAGCUUGAGUAUGGUAGAGGCAGAGGGAAUUCCAAGUGGAGCGGUGAAAUGCGUAGAGAUUUGGAGGAACACCAGUGGCGAAGGCGCUCUGCUGGGCCAAAACUGACACUGAGAGACGAAAGCUGGGGGAGC
RNAcentral lists this ribosomal RNA (400 nucleotides) under uncultured bacterium. RNAcentral describes it as "bacterial SSU rRNA". It matches the Rfam family "Bacterial small subunit ribosomal RNA", at positions 355 to 769 of the family's 1533-position model. The record is from RNAcentral.